UUCUAGCCCCGAUAGCAGUGGAAAUCCCUUUAUUUUUUUUAGAAAAAAUAAAAGAUUACAACGAAAAGCGGGACGAGGU
This 79-nucleotide small RNA is filed under the name Halpernia frigidisoli. RNAcentral's name for it is "Flavo-1 RNA". It matches the Rfam family "Flavo-1 RNA". Lineage: Bacteria; Pseudomonadati; Bacteroidota; Flavobacteriia; Flavobacteriales; Weeksellaceae. The record is from Rfam by way of RNAcentral.